Molecule: transfer RNA, 26 nt
Filed under: Espadarana prosoblepon (emerald glass frog)
Lineage: Eukaryota; Metazoa; Chordata; Amphibia; Anura; Centrolenidae
Description: partial tRNA-Ile
Source: RNAcentral
GGAAGCGUGCCCGAAAGAUAAGGACC